UUUCUACUUCAGAUUCGCCCAAAGCCCCAACAAACGAUGCUAAGCAAGAUUAUUCCAUACGAGAUUCGUUCAGAGCCCCAAUUCGUUCUAACAACCUAGGAGGUCGAGAGAUCAUCAGAAAUAAUGGAGAUUUUAAUAGUGUGCAUAACAAUCCCUUGGGUCUUUCAGGGUGGCAACCCUCCGGAAAUAGUUUUCUGUAGGGGGAGAAAAAAAGAACAGUUCUUCCAUUGUAUUUAUUUUGUCUCAAAUGUAAAGCACUAUAAUGUUGUCAUAUAAAGAUGGUAUGAAAUAAAGGAAAUCUAAAGCCUGAAAAA
Long non-coding RNA from Eurytemora carolleeae, 314 nucleotides. RefSeq lists it as uncharacterized. NCBI's taxonomy places the organism in Eukaryota, Metazoa, Arthropoda, Copepoda, Calanoida, Temoridae. The transcript is spliced from 2 exons. The record is from RefSeq and is a predicted model, not a curated record.